RNAcentral lists this ribosomal RNA (253 nucleotides) under uncultured bacterium. RNAcentral describes it as "partial 16S ribosomal RNA". It matches the Rfam family "Bacterial small subunit ribosomal RNA", at positions 524 to 776 of the family's 1533-position model. The record is from RNAcentral.
UACGUAGGGGGCAAGCGUUGUCCGGAAUUAUUGGGCGUAAAGCGCACGCAGGCGGUCCUUUAAGUCUGAUGUGAAAGUUCACGGCUUAACCGUGAAAGGUCAUUGGAAACUGGAGGGCUUGAGUACAGAAGAGGAGAGUGGAAUUCCAUGUGUAGUGGUGAAAUACGUAGAGAUAUGGAGGAACACCAGUGGCGAAGGCGGCUCUCUGGUCUGUUACUGACGCUGAGGUGCGAAAGCGUGGAUAGCGAACAGG